GGAGAGGUACCGAAGUGGUCAUAACGGGGGCGCCUCGAAAGCGUCUUGCCUCAAAAGGGCACGUGGGUUCGAAUCCCACCCUCUCCGCCA
This 90-nucleotide transfer RNA is filed under the name Acidobacteriota bacterium. RNAcentral's name for it is "tRNA-Ser". It matches the Rfam family "tRNA". From Rfam's summary of the family: Transfer RNA (tRNA) molecules are approximately 80 nucleotides in length. Lineage: Bacteria; Pseudomonadati; Acidobacteriota. The record is from RNAcentral.